CAUUCCUUAUGAGAAUCUAAUGCCUGAUGAUCUGUCACUGUCUCCCAUCACCCCCAGAUGGGACCAUCUAGUUGCAGGAAAACAAGCUCAGGGCACCCACUGAUUCUACAUUAUGGUGAAUUGUAUAAUUAUUUCAUUAUAGAUUACAAUGUAAUAAUAUUAGAAAUAAAGUGCGCAGUAAAUGUAAUGCACUUAAAUCCUCCUGAAACCAUCCUCUCCCUGAUCCAUGGAAAAAUUAUCUUCCACAAAACCAGUCCCUGGUGCCAAAGAGGCUGGGGACUGCUGAGUCUAUCACUCAGCACUGAGGCAACUAGUGAGGCCAAAUGACCUGCUGGCUAACAAGGGAUGGUCAAAGAAGCAGGAUCAAUGCAGGACUGUCAGAAGGCCUCUCUCCAUGAGAAAGUACAUGGUAUUCCCAUAUGUACACAGUGCUCUUUACUUAAAUUCUACCCUUCCUUUCAGACCCAAUUAGAUGUCCUUUUUUCCCUCAUGGCCUCCUUCCCUUCUCCUCUCACAUUCAUCCUAAUAUUGUGGAUUUGCAUUCUUGCUCCACAGUCACCUGCGAAAUCAGGUGACUGAUUUCACUGUGUCACCUCUAAUAAGGUCCACAUUUCUUGAGCAUAAGCAAGGAGUCCUUUAACCACUGACCUCCUGCCUUGUUCUGUACCUCCUCCUGGUAGAGGCCUCAUCAUGCUACUGUUCAGUUCCAUUUCACAAUUUUGUUAGAAAGGACAAUUCCUUGAAGCAAAUGUGAUAAAUUAGCCUUAUAAGAGUGUUUCACAUCAUUUUUAUUAAACUCUAUUGCACCCCAAUUCAUAAGUAAAAAAAGCAAAAAGGAAUCAACUAUUAUUUUCCAAAGAAAAAUGCAGUUAUUUUUGUUACAAUUUUGAAUAGAUUACCAACUUUUUUCUUUUUAUCACAAAAAUCUAAUUUGAAGGAAUGAUCCUCAUUCCUUUCCAUAAAAAAUCAGGAUUUUAGUUAUAGUCAGGAGCCUAGAAUAAUCCUAAUCUGAACUUUUCUUACAUCCCAUCCUGCAGCUAGAAAUAUGAUUUUCAAAAAAAUACGAAGGCUUCAACGUUCUUUGUGGUGAAGAGACUGGAAGUGACACUAUGGGGCUUGCGAGACAUGACAUCAUAAUAUUAAUUGCUUGAUCGUAUAAAGUGUCCUUAGUGAAGUAUACAAGAUGAGCUAUGUCUGGCUCAAACUAGGGCUGAAAAUCCAUAACUGAGCUUCUCUCUGCUGAAAGCAUUCCCUGGGGAAAGGAAGCUGGCUGCAUCCUUUAGUAAAACAGGGUAGGUCUUGGACCUGCUGAGUGUGGGAGGAACCCAACCAAAUGCAGUCCACGAAUCAAAUUUUCCUGCUUCUCACUCUGUCGCCACUUACUAAUAAAAACUGGUGCCUGGCUGAGUGUCUAAGGGCUAUCCAAACAUGCACACAGCUGGAAAACACUGAAAGGCUUAUUGCUACCCAGCAUUUAAAGAAAUGUCUGUCAAAUCACUAGUUGACCCCUAAGAUAACUGAGCAGAGAUUUUAGUGGCCACACACAGCAAGAAUACGUCUUACAGAGUUAGUUUACAAAAGUCACUGAAGAAACCAAAAACAGUGACAUGAGCAAAAAUAACAAAUCCUGGAGAGAAGUAUCUGAUUUUCAGAAUUUCCAAAUUAUAUUAUUUAAAAUAUUUAAUUUUCAACAAAAAAUUAUGAAGCAUGCAAAGAAAUGAGAAAGUAUUGUUCAUACACAGAAAGAAAGUGAUUAACAUUUCUUCAAAAAUAAAGGCAAAAUUAGGAGACUCAAAAUAAACAAAAACUGAGAGAAUUUAUUGCUAGGAGAACUGACCUACAAGAUAUAUUCAAGUAAAAAUGCAAUUUAUGAUAGCAUCAAAAAAAUUCUUAAGAAUGGUAAAUAAUGAAAUUAAGGCAGAAAUCAAGAAGUUCUUUCAGACGGAUUCACAGCCAAAUUCUACCAGAGGUACAAAGAGGAGUUGGUACCAUUCCUUCUGAAACUAUUCCAAACAACUGAAAAGAAGGGACUCCACCCUAACUCAUUUUAUGAGGCCAGCAUCAUCCUGAUACCAAAAUCUGGCAGAGACACAAGAAAAAAAAGAAAACUUCGGGCCAAUAUCCCUGAUGAACAACAGACCAAUGGAACAAAAUAGUGACCUCAAAAAUUACACCACAUAUCUACAACUAUCUGAUCUUCAACAAAACUGACAAAAACAAGCAAUGGGGAAAGGAUUCCCUAUUUAACGAACAGCACUGCGAAAACUGGCUAGCCAUAUGCAGGAAACUGGAACUGGAUCUCUUCCUUACACCUUAUACAAAAAUUAACUUAGGAUGGAUUAAAGACUUAUAUGUAGGAUUCCAAGCAGGACUUGAUGUCAAGUUGUCUCUGAGUCCAAUGCUCUUCCCCACUGUCCCUGUCCACGGUGUCCCCAGCUAGAAAAGGAAUCUACCAGCUAAGAGGCAUACAGCUGUACUCUGAGUGUGGUGCAGAGACAGCAGGGGAGGUUAAUAGCAACUAAAUGCUAUACUAGGUGCCAUGGGAUAGGAGAGACUUAUUUCAUCACGUGUAUUCAGAACCUUUACUGGGUACUGGGGUUAAAACCAGUACACAUAAAUUUAACUUGAGGCUGAGUAUUUUAUACUAUCCUGGAAAGUCAUUUAGGAAAGAGACCAGAAAGGAGCAAAAAGGGAGUGGCUAUUGUCAAAAACACACAGCUAUUUUUUAGAAGUGCAAAUCCAAACCUCAUGGAUGAUACAGGACAGAAUCUUUAUCAGUAGCAAAAGGCCUAUCAAGUUCUCUAAUUAGUGCUAUCCUUUCCUGCCUCUUCCAUUAUGCUCUGAUAGUCCACCCUCAAAUCCCCAGUGCAAGACAGAGUUUGAGAAGUGGACAUCUGGGUGUAGUGAAAUCAUAAGGGAUCGUGCAGUCCUCCGUGCUAAUAACAGCUGGAGCUAUAAUCACCCCUAGGCGUUAAGGGUCAAGAAGAGGGAGUGGUGUUGGAACCCAGAGACAGAGAGAACUGUGAGAAAAGUGAUGCCUGACAAGAGGGUGACCUUCUGUCAAGGGACGCAGACAGCCCAAGGUGACACACCAGGAGAGAAUAUCACAGGAAUAAAUACUACAACUUCUUAUUGGCGCAAAGAGAGGCACAUAGAUUAGCAGAACAGAAUGUCAAGUCCCAAAACAGACUCCACGUUUAUGGUCUGUUGAUUUUCAACAAAGAUGGAAAGGCAAUUAGGCAUAGAAAAGAUGUCUUUCUAUGAAUUUGUUUUGGAAUAGAUGGAGUUCUGCUAAUCAAAAGGACCUCAUAAUUACUGUACAGCUUAGCCUUUUAAUCUGCAUGGACCUCAGCUUCCACUGUCUUUGUAAUGAAGAGAACUAACCACAUUUAGGAUCUAUCGAGGACUUGAGGGCAUUUCUCUAGAACCACGCCCCAGCACUCCAGUGUCCUGCAAGUCAGUGAUGCCGCUGUGCUUGAUCCUGCACAUGGCUCCACUGCCCUGUGGAUUCAUGCUCUGAGCUGCUCCUCUGGUCAAGGAUUUAGAGCUGAACAGAUUUGUCCACACCUUAUUCCCCCAUCCCCACAGAGACCAUAACUGUGUGCCGUGUGCAUUGUAAGACAUCUGGUCAGUACUUAGAGCAUGGACUGUGGCCACAGAACAGGGCAAAGCUGAAUGGCCACACACAGGGUCUGAGGCCCUGACCAUGUCUCCUUAGCUUAAAGAGGGGGCAGCCAAAUUAACCACAGCCUGAUGUAUGCUAAUGGUAACCUUGUGCUUCAGAGCAGAAGGCAGAGCCAUGGGGGUGACACAAACUCCAACAAGCACCAGGGUCAAGUAGAAGCUAACUGACCCAGGAGAGAAAAUAAUUCUGUCAAGUUAAGUAAUUUGCUGGUGUUCUCUGCUAACUCACAUCUGCGUCCUGGGUCUCCUUAGCUCUUCCUUGAAAAAGCAAUGAAUGUUUUCUAA
Molecule: long non-coding RNA, 3969 nt
Filed under: Homo sapiens (human)
Lineage: Eukaryota; Metazoa; Chordata; Mammalia; Primates; Hominidae
Description: non-protein coding lnc-DIRC3-6:1
Source: RNAcentral